GAUGAACGCUGGCGGCGUGCCUAAUACAUGCAAGUCGAGCGAACAGACGAGGAGCUUGCUCCUCUGACGUUAGCGGCGGACGGGUGAGUAACACGUGGAUAACCUACCUAUAAGACUGGGAUAACUUCGGGAAACCGGAGCUAAUACCGGAUAAUAUAUUGAACCGCAUGGUUCAAUAGUGAAAGACGGUUUUGCUGUCACUUAUAGAUGGAUCCGCGCCGCAUUAGCUAGUUGGUAAGGUAACGGCUUACCAAGGCAACGAUGCGUAGCCGACCUGAGAGGGUGAUCGGCCACACUGGAACUUAGACACGGUCCAGACUCCCACGGGAGGCAGCAGUAGGGAAUCUUCCGCAAUGGGCGAAAGCCUGACGGAGCAACGCCGCGUGAGUGAUGAAGGUCUUCGGAUCGUAAAACUCUGUUAUUAGGGAAGAACAAAUGUGUAAGUAACUAUGCACGUCUUGACGGUACCUAAUCAGAAAGCCACGGCUAACUACGUG
This 497-nucleotide ribosomal RNA is filed under the name uncultured bacterium. RNAcentral's name for it is "partial 16S ribosomal RNA". It matches the Rfam family "Bacterial small subunit ribosomal RNA", at positions 28 to 507 of the family's 1533-position model. The record is from RNAcentral.